Molecule: small nuclear RNA, 172 nt
Organism: Peromyscus maniculatus bairdii (prairie deer mouse)
Lineage: Eukaryota; Metazoa; Chordata; Mammalia; Rodentia; Cricetidae
Gene: U12
Rfam family: U12 minor spliceosomal RNA
About the family: Although the U12 sequence is very divergent from that of U2, the two are functionally analogous.
Source: Ensembl
AUAUCUUAAACUUAUGUGUAAGGAAAACAAUAAUUCAGGGUGAUACUCGAGUCCUUACUGCUAAUGUGAGAUUAAUUUUUGAGUGGGUUAAGUUUGCCCUUAAGGUGACCCCCCUACAAAUAAAUAUGAGAAAAAGGGCUGGGGUGUGGCUUUGUGGUGGAGCCCUUGCCUA